Molecule: unclassified non-coding RNA, 391 nt
Filed under: soil metagenome
Description: partial contains 5.8S ribosomal RNA, internal transcribed spacer 2, and large subunit ribosomal RNA
Rfam family: 5.8S ribosomal RNA (bases 1-122)
Source: RNAcentral
GAUGAAGAACGUAGCGAAAUGCGAUACUUGGUGUGAAUUGCAGAAUCGCGUGAACCAUCGAGUCUUUGAACGCAAGUUGCGCCCGAAGCCAUUAGGCCGAGGGCACGCCUGCCUGGGCGUCACACGUCGUUGCCCCCCCAUCUACUCCUUCGGGAUUGCGGGGGGCGGAUGAUGGCCUCCCGUGCGCCUCGUCGCGCGGUUGGCAUAAAUGCCAAGUCCUCGGCGACGCACGCCACGACAAUCGGUGGUUGCGAAACCUCGGUUGCCCGUCGUGUGCGGUCGUCGCGCAUCGAGGGCUCGAAAAAAUUGUCGGGCUCUGUUUCGGCUUUCAACGCGACCCCAGGUCAGGCGGGGUUACCCGCUGAAUUUAAGCAUAUCAAUAAGCGGAGGA